RNA transcript from Phalaenopsis equestris, 1612 nucleotides. It is a transcript of the gene named ADP-ribosylation factor GTPase-activating protein AGD12-like, with no coding region annotated. The transcript is spliced from 10 exons. The record is from RefSeq and is a predicted model, not a curated record. NCBI's taxonomy places the organism in Eukaryota, Viridiplantae, Streptophyta, Magnoliopsida, Asparagales, Orchidaceae.
UCGGUCAACAAAACCACUGAGAUUCAGCAUGAAGGUUCGAGACACGUGGCGGAGGGUGGAAACUCAACGAAUUAGAGAAAGGGUUUGAAUUGAUUGAUCGAGGAAUACUAAAGAUUCCAAUGGUGAAAUCCCUGCGAUAACUUCUCAGCUAUUUCGAUCUGCACUUUUCAUCCAUUAAACUUGUUCUUUGAAAAGAUUGCGCUCGGAGUUGCGGACGCUGCUCGGCUGAAGAAAUUUUCAGUUUGAGUUUGGUGCAUUUGAUAGUGAAGAGAGGCUCUACUACAUGAUUAAAGUUUUUAAGAUUAAAACUUAUAAAGGGAAGGAUGAGCAAUAACACCGAACAUGAGAAGACUUCAUCUGGUACAAGUAACAAGAAGCAAUUGAAGGAGUUAUUACAUAAAAGUGAUAAUCGGAUUUGUGCUGAUUGCAGUGCACCAGAUCCUAAGUGGGCGUCAGUUAAUAUCGGUGUAUUUGUAUGUGUACAAUGCUGUGGUGUACAUAGAAGCCUUGGUACCCAUAUCUCAAAGGUUUUAUCAGUGACCCUGGAUGAAUGGUCGGACGAAGAAAUUCAAUCUGUGAUUGAAGUUGGCGGGAACUCUUAUGCAAAUUCAAUAUAUGAAGCGUUCCUUCCUCAGAAUUUUUUAAAACCUACUACAGAUUCAAGCUAUGAGGAGAGAGCUAAGUUCAUCAGGUCCAAGUACGAGUUUCAAGAUUUUUUGAAACCAAGCCUGCGUAUUGUUUCUUCAAAGAGCUCUUCCUCGUCAAAGUGCUCUUUGAGGUCAGGGGACUCUGUAAAGGAAAGCAAGAAUGGUUUGGACUCAAUAGUCUCCUCGGUAGGUAUGGUAGAUUUCAUAGGAAUUCUAACGGUCAAAGUGAUACAAGGCAGAAAUUUGGCUGUUAGGGAUAUGUUAAGUAGUGAUCCAUAUGUUGUUUUGUCCCUUGGAAAACAGAAAGCCAAAACCUCUGUUAUUAAGAGCAAUCUGAACCCUGUUUGGAACGAGGAGCUUAAACUUUCAGUUCCUCAACAUUAUGGUCCCCUUAAGCUGCAAGUAUUUGAUCAUGACCUGCUCUCUGCUGAUGAUAUAAUGGGAGAGGCCGAGAUUGACCUGCAACCAUUAAUCACAUCUGCAAUGGCAUUUGGAGAUCCCGACUCCCUAGCCGACAUGCAGAUCGGCAGGUGGCUGAGAUCACAGGACAAUGCCCUCCUCAAGGACAGUAUCGUCAGAAUUGUCAAUGGGAAAGUGAAGCAGGGGAUGUCUCUCAAACUCCAGCUUGUGGAAUCUGGGGAGAUUGACCUGGAACUGCAGUGGAUUGCUUUGAGUGAAUGAGCAGGCUUUGAAACAUUUCUGCAUUGGAUCAUUUGUCUUUUAUUGGAAUUUGUUUUAUUUAUCAGGACUGGUGAUAGAGCGUAGUCUACUUGUUUAGUAAGAAUGUUUUUGGUUAGUCUACGCUGUAUCACGUCCGUUCUCUGGAAACAAUAUUUUCUCCCAAUAAUGAGGCAAUAGGUGUCGCUGCAUUUGGGUUAUGGAAUGAAAGACUACUCAUUAUUAAACUUGAAUGAUAUUUAGGACGAAUCAUAUGAGAUGAUAGCUUUUAUUAUAAUUUUAUUUAA